GGUCUUUUUUGUUGAACAUUUUCUCUGGCUUGUUUGAAGUCCAAUAUUACCAAUGAAGACACAAAAGGAAGAAGAUAACUGAGUACUUCCUGAUCUCUAUGUCCUUUGUCAUCAGACCCCCACGUCCAUGCUGCAGUAGUUCCCAUAUUUUUCUUAGUCUUCCUUUUGCUGAUAAUGUAUCUGUAGAAACUCUUAUUGUUUCUCACAGUGCCUGACGGAUUCAUUCUAGAUGGACUUUGGCAUUUGUAACUGUAUCUGCAUAUUCAGAUGAUGUGAUUAUAUUCCUCCUCUUUCACCUGUCCCUGCUUCCACUCCUUGUAAAAUUUGAGUUUAGUCAGGAACAUUUUGUUCAUCCACGUAGACAUCUUGCUGCCAUUGCUUGACUACGUGAAUGUGGAAUAAACUAUUUCUGACCUUGGAGGAGGUGAUCCUUAAAAAUCAACAAAGUCUCCUGGAGUCCUCUUAUCUCCAGCAUUAAUUCCCUUGGGAUUCUGUCAGACAGACCCUGGAAGGUGACAGGCCAAAGUCUGUUCUCAUAAUGUCCAUAAUUUUGAUCCUGUUUCUUGCCCCGAUCUCUCAAAAUCCUGACAUCCAUCAUCUGCAGUCCUUGCUGCACCCAGACUUCACAUCCUCAGCUACGUUUUCCUUGUAAGUAUGAUGUUUAGUAGAUAUCAGGGAGUUUCAGGUCCUCAUGCUGACAUGAGCUUGCAAUUGUGAAGCUUCUUUCAGAUGUCUGAAGACUACUUGCAAUUGGAGUAUGCCAGAAAAAUUACAAACUUUCCAUUAGAUCACAAAUAUUAUUUAAUCUUCAUUACAGCAUCUUUUAAUCUUGAUUCACUUAGAAGCGUUAUUCAAUAAUUUAAAAAUAAAGUAGAAUUGUACUCUGCAUAUAAAAUAAUAAAUAUGUAUUUCUUUUCAGAUUUUUGCUACUGAAUCAUUGCUGAACAUUGCAAAGAGAAUAACAGCUAAAUAUCUUUCCAGCUGGAUUUCAAGACUUUUACUUGUCUGAUUAGCCUAAUAAGAUUUAAACUUUUUAAGGGUGCUGAACAAUAUUCAUUACCUCAGAAUGAGCAAUACAGUACAAUGACUGAAGUGAGCUGGUGCACAGUUUUGUUUUGAAACAUUUCAAACUGUUUAGUUUCUUCAAAAUGGAUAGCCAUUUUGGAUAACCUUAUUAAUGAGCGUGUUUUUGUUUUGUUUUUCUGCAAGUUUUGAAGAAAAUCUGCUUGACAUU
RNAcentral lists this long non-coding RNA (1234 nucleotides) under Gallus gallus (chicken). RNAcentral's name for it is "lncRNA (ENSGALG00010015464.1)". Lineage: Eukaryota; Metazoa; Chordata; Aves; Galliformes; Phasianidae. The record is from RNAcentral.